RNAcentral lists this long non-coding RNA (425 nucleotides) under Pan troglodytes (chimpanzee). RNAcentral describes it as "long non-coding RNA NONPTRT018360". The record is from RNAcentral. Lineage: Eukaryota; Metazoa; Chordata; Mammalia; Primates; Hominidae.
CUGGGACUCAAGGAAAGAGAGGGAGUGCCAAGCUGUUACUGUUUACCCUCUGGCCCAGAUCUUUCUUCAGAAGAAACCUGAGUGGUCUCACAGACUUCCUCGGUUGUGCUGUUUUACUGAGGUUGGGUGGAGUCAACACGUCAUGGAUAAAGAAGUCCCUAAAGGCAGUCCCAGGGAGCCCGCACUGAACAUCAAGAAGUCAGACAAAUCCUUCAAACGCAAGAAGCCCACCGAAAAUGUGCUGAUCUUUUUAAUCAACAGACAACUGGGCAGGCACAGAAGUGACAUCGACCUGUCAAGAUGGGUGUGGAUGCUGUCAUAAAGCAACUCUAGGGUGGACAUGGCCUUGGAUAAAAGGUCAUGUGGCUUACGUGCUGAAGCCUGCCCAGAUUUUUGAGACAUUAAAUAUAAUUAGAACAAUAAAC